This 1343-nucleotide ribosomal RNA is filed under the name uncultured bacterium. Its description in RNAcentral is "16S ribosomal RNA". It matches the Rfam family "Bacterial small subunit ribosomal RNA", at positions 28 to 1378 of the family's 1533-position model. The record is from RNAcentral.
GACGAACGCUGGCGGCGUGCUUAACACAUGCAAGUCGAACGGAAAGGCCCUGCUUUUGUGGGGUGCUCGAGUGGCGAACGGGUGAGUAACACGUGAGUAACCUGCCCUUGACUUUGGGAUAACUUCAGGAAACUGGGGCUAAUACCGGAUAGGAGCUCCUGCUGCAUGGUGGGGGUUGGAAAGUUCCGGCGGUUGGGGAUGGACUCGCGGCUUAUCAGCUUGUUGGUGGGGUAGUGGCUUACCAAGGCUUUGACGGGUAGCCGGCCUGAGAGGGUGACCGGCCACAUUGGGACUGAGAUACGGCCCAGACUCCUACGGGAGGCAGCAGUGGGGAAUAUUGCACAAUGGGCGGAAGCCUGAUGCAGCAACGCCGCGUGCGGGAUGACGGCCUUCGGGUUGUAAACCGCUUUCGCCUGUGACGAAGCGUGAGUGACGGUAAUGGGUAAAGAAGCACCGGCUAACUACGUGCCAGCAGCCGCGGUGAUACGUAGGGUGCGAGCGUUGUCCGGAUUUAUUGGGCGUAAAGGGCUCGUAGGUGGUUGAUCGCGUCGGAAGUGUAAUCUUGGGGCUUAACCCUGAGCGUGCUUUCGAUACGGGUUGACUUGAGGAAGGUAGGGGAGAAUGGAAUUCCUGGUGGAGCGGUGGAAUGCGCAGAUAUCAGGAGGAACACCAGUGGCGAAGGCGGUUCUCUGGGCCUUUCCUGACGCUGAGGAGCGAAAGCGUGGGGAGCGAACAGGCUUAGAUACCCUGGUAGUCCACGCUGUAAACGGUGGGUACUAGGUGUGGGGUCCAUUCCACGGGUUCCGUGCCGUAGCUAACGCUUUAAGUACCCCGCCUGGGGAGUACGGCCGCAAGGCUAAAACUCAAAGGAAUUGACGGGGCCCCGCACAAGCGGCGGAGCAUGCGGAUUAAUUCGAUGCAACGCGUAGAACCUUACCUGGGUUUGACAUGGAUCGGGAGUGCUCAGAGAUGGGUGUGCCUCCUUUGGGGUCGGUUCACAGGUGGUGCAUGGCUGUCGUCAGCUCGUGUCGUGAGAUGUUGGGUUAAGUCCCGCAACGAGCGCAACCCUUGUUCACUGUUGCCAGCACGUUAUGGUGGGGACUCAGUGGAGACCGCCGGGGUCAACUCGGAGGAAGGUGGGGAUGACGUCAAGUCAUCAUGCCCCUUAUGUCCAGGGCUUCACGCAUGCUACAAUGGCUGGUACAGAGAGUGGCGAGCCUGUGAGGGUGAGCGAAUCUCGGAAAGCCGGUCUCAGUUCGGAUUGGGGUCUGCAACUCGACCUCAUGAAGUCGGAGUCGCUGGUAAUCGCAGAUCAGCAACGCUGCGGUGAAUACGUUCCCGGG